GAUGAACGCUAGCGGCAGGCCUAAUACAUGCAAGUCGAAACGGUAGACUACUUUCGGGUAGUUGAGAGUGGCGCACGGGUGCGUAACGCGUAUGCAACCUACCUUGUACAGGGGGGAUAGCCCGGAGAAAUUCGGAUUAAUACCCCAUGGCAUUAUCAGAUGGCAUCUGAAGAUAAUUAAAGAUUUAUCGGUACAAGAUGGGCAUGCGUGACAUUAGUUAGUUGGUAAGGUAACGGCUUACCAAGACUAUGAUGUCUAGGGGUUCUGAGAGGAUGAUCCCCCACACUGGUACUGAGAUACGGACCAGACUCCUACGGGAGGCAGCAGUAGGGAAUAUUGGUCAAUGGGCGAGAGCCUGAACCAGCCAUGCCGCGUGCAGGAAGACGGCCUUCUGGGUUGUAAACUGCUUUUCUACGGGAAGAAAAUGCCCUUGCGAGGGAAAUUGCCGGUACCGUAGGAAUAAGCACCGGCUAACUCCGUG
RNAcentral lists this ribosomal RNA (481 nucleotides) under uncultured bacterium. Its description in RNAcentral is "bacterial SSU rRNA". It matches the Rfam family "Bacterial small subunit ribosomal RNA", at positions 28 to 507 of the family's 1533-position model. The record is from RNAcentral.